This 678-nucleotide unclassified non-coding RNA is filed under the name Bombus terrestris (buff-tailed bumblebee). Its description in RNAcentral is "misc RNA ENSBTSG00005028124.1". The record is from RNAcentral. Lineage: Eukaryota; Metazoa; Arthropoda; Insecta; Hymenoptera; Apidae.
GACGCUCGACAUGAUCCUGGGAUUUAUAAAAUUCAUUUUAAAUUAAAGCUUAAAUUGUACCGUUGAGUUAUAGCUGACUAUAAUAUUAGGUAGAAUUGUGGUGGCACUCGACAAGCCAAAUAUCACCACUCGACACUAACUAGUGUCGGACAACGGCAGCGCAGUGGUUAGCGCUUUAGAUUACGAACGUUUGGAACCGGGGUUCGAAUCCCGGCGACCGGAGUCCGAUUUUUCUUCCACGCACCAAAUAACGGAGGAAAAAUCAGCAGUACCCCAGCUGUGACAUCUACAGCCCCUAGCGACAAUUACUCCGGACGAGGCCCAACAAGUACAACUAUCACGGACAACAAAUACCACCUCAAACUGGUGACCCCGACGUGACCGACAGCGAAACAGAGCAAACCUGGACACCUCCGCUCCGAUCGACGCGCAAAGCAGGUGACAGAAUACGAGACGAUGACCAAGCCAAGAGUGAUGUAGCCAUCGCAAAGUUCAUGGGCAUCACCACCAGCACGUCAUACUAAAGAGAGGAACAGAGUCCUACGACCGUACAAGGAACGCUCUGCACCGUACCGAGAGGUAUCCAUGACCAUAUCGAAGACAUCGCGCAACAUCUGCAAGGAUAGGACAACAAUCGGCUGACGCUUUACCACGUUAAGAUCUAUAAUGUUAUCUCUG